RNAcentral lists this ribosomal RNA (406 nucleotides) under uncultured bacterium. RNAcentral's name for it is "partial 16S ribosomal RNA". It matches the Rfam family "Bacterial small subunit ribosomal RNA", at positions 30 to 526 of the family's 1533-position model. The record is from RNAcentral.
AUUGAACGCUGGCGGCAGGCCUAACACAUGCAAGUCGAACGAGUGGCGGACGGGUGAGUAAUGUAUGGGAAACUGCCUGAUGGAGGGGGAUAACUACUGGAAACGGUAGCUAAUACCGCAUAACAUCAGAUGUGCCCAGAUGGGAUUAGCUAGGUGGUGGGGUAACGGCUCACCAAGGCGACGAUGCCUAGCUGGUCUGAGAGGAUGACCAGCCACACUGGAACUGAGACACGGUCCAGACUCCUACGUGAGGCAGCAGUGGGGAUUAUUGCACAAUGGGCGCAAGCCUGAUGCAGCCAAUCCGCGUGUAUGAAAAAGGCCUUCGGGUUGUAAAGUACUUUCCGCGGGGAAGCGUUACCCACAGAAGAAGCACCGGCUAACUCCGUGCCAGCAGCCGCGGUAAUUC